Non-coding RNA from Coffea arabica (coffee), 624 nucleotides. NCBI's taxonomy places the organism in Eukaryota, Viridiplantae, Streptophyta, Magnoliopsida, Gentianales, Rubiaceae. The record is from RefSeq and is a predicted model, not a curated record.
UAAAUGACUAGUAGAGUACAAACCAGCUAUGACAAUCCGAAAGCUUACUUUCAGUCUGCCACACCACAGCUGAUUGGAUGAGUUUUUCUAUCAUAUCAAGACUUGGUUUAAAAUUGGCUUCAUUUGGCAUCUCAAAUGUGGAUAAAGUAGUUCUGAGUUACGGGUUGAUAGCCAGAAUGAGUUCCCAGUCAAAUCAUCACUCCCAUGGAUGAGAAUAUGCAGUGCACUAAUUUGGCCUGCCCAGUGGCUAUAGUGCUUUUACGGGAAUGGAGAAGAUUUCAUGUGCCUUUCGCAUUGAAGAUCAGCUGCAAUGUUAGAUGAUGGCAGCUCACAGGGAGGGUUAGGCUGCCUGUAGUUGAACUGGACUCAAUUACCCCGAUAUGCCUGUGGAUUCAUGUUCUAGCAUAGGCGCCCUGCAAGGAAGCUUCAAAAAACAACACAAGAUUGCAAGUUCAGGAAUACUGUUCCAAUAUCUAGAAACGCUGCUGUACUUGUUCUGGUCUCAUUUCAGUAUAGAAACGCUGCUGUACUAAUUCUUUGUCAGACGCACAAGCCUUUUACUACUAAACAACUCUCCUGGGAAUUUGAAUUUGCUUAUUCUGGUCUUUCCUCGAUUUAUUUCAA